CCAGUGCCCUCUGACAGAGCAAACUGUGGCUAUGCAUCAUUGCCUGGCCUCUGUGCCCAUGGACUGUUGGUACUAGAACAGGAGGCACAGUG
RNAcentral lists this small nucleolar RNA (92 nucleotides) under Castor canadensis (American beaver). RNAcentral's name for it is "Small nucleolar RNA SNORA42/SNORA80 family (ENSCCNG00000009927.1)". Lineage: Eukaryota; Metazoa; Chordata; Mammalia; Rodentia; Castoridae. The record is from RNAcentral.